GACAGAGCCUAAAUAUCCAGUGGAGCUAAGCUCAUGUCUAUGUGUGGCUGAUGCUCACUAUAAAGCCUACCCAGGCACCAACACAGUCAACGAACUUGGUCCCAUGGGGGCUCCCAGAGACUGAACCACCAACCAACGAGCAAGCAAGGGCUGGACCUAUGCCUCCCCUCAUAUAUGUAGCAGAUAUACAGCUUGGUCUUCAUGUGGGUCACUCAUCAACUGGAGCAGGGACUGUCCUUGAAUCUGUUGCCUGACUGUGGUUCCUGCUCUCCUAACUGGGUAGCCUCGAUUGGCCUCAGUGGGAGAUGAUGUGCCUAGUCCUGCAGUGAUUUGAUGUGCCAGGGUGGGGCAAUACCCAGGGAGGUCUCACCCUUCUCAGAAGCAGGAAGUGAGGAGAGGGACUAUGUGUGUGUGUGGUGGUGGUGGUGGUGGUGGGGAACCAGGAGAAAGGGGACUGCUAUUGUAAAGUUAAUUAAUUAAUUUUAAAAUGAGCCCUUCCAUGCAUGUUUUCUUGGGUUUUGUUUUGUUUUGUUUUGUUUUGUUUUGUUUUGUUUUGUUCUUGCAUGGUUUUCUGGGCCCUAAUGGUGGUUUUGUUAUUCCCUUUCCUUUUUUGCAAGAGAAGACUGUAUUGAUUACAUUUCCAAGCUCACCUCACAAUGUCACCCCCUCUGUUUUAUGUAAUCCUUUCUUAUCAUCUUAUAGCUGUUCUCCCCGCCCCUAGCCCCUCCCAAGAGGAUCCAUUCAACCUGAGAAACCUACAACAUCUGGUUUGAAUGUGCUUUUGUAAAAGGUGCACGGUUUUUUGCUUUGUGCCUAUCUAUUUUUAAAUCUCUAGCCUGGAUCUCAGGUUGUAUAUUUCUGCUUUCCUGGGGAAGCUGGCAAGGACUCCCCACUAUCCCACCCUCCCUUCCACCUCUGAGGAUAACUGAGGGCCAAGGGCGAUCUGCUGGUCCUGUGCUCUGCACAGGAUAAAAAAGCCGGAAGUGGCCACCCUCGCCGCCAACGGAAGCGAAUCACAGCGGAAAGAUGAAGCGCGGAACUCACUUCAUCCGAAUCCUGUUUUUUCCACAUUGUGUGGCUGCAGGAAAAUUACUCAUUCAAAACAAACAAACAAAAACUAACAAACAAACAAACAAAACCUCCACUUCUUGGUCCCAUAAAAUAAGGGGGAGAAUAAAUCAUUGAGGGUAUUGAAAAGGUUCUAUAAGAGAGGCUCAGAGCAAUAAGUCUUGCUUAAAUUCUAAGUAGAUGGCAGCUGAGUUUAGCGAGACUUACCUAGCAAAGCAUUCACAGAAGCAGAGCCCCCCGGGUCUUAUGUGGGAGAGAUAACUGGGAAUGAAAACCACAUGAGAAGCCUAGAGCUUUAAAGACAUGGACAGUGGAAAGUCACACAGCUAAAGAUCUGAUCAUUAAGCUUUAAAGUCCCCCGGGGUAAACGAUCCAGAAUAGAAACAUACAAGGGUCAAAACUGCUCUCCUCUACAAAACUGGUCUUCCACGUCUUCUUCUCUCCUCUCUCCCUCUCCUUCCCUUCCUUCCCUUUGUUAAACUAGGCACUAGCUUUCCUCAAUCCCAAAUAAAAGUCUCCCGCACCUGUAAAUAUGCCAACAAUCCGAUGUCAGCGUCAUCAGACUGCUGUACCCGGGCCAAUCUUUAUCCCAAUGUUUGCUAUUCAAGGAAACGUAGAGCUACAGAAAGUUAAUUAGUGCCUAAGAGGUCUAUAAAGGCCAUCUGCCCCACAACUCUUUUACAUUCGAGGACGCUGGGUACGUGAAGAAGCCUCUGCCACUGUCAUUUAUUUUGAGCAAUGUGUUCUGCUAGGCAUGCCACGAUCACGCACGCAACUCCACAACUGACACUCUGAUGUCUCCGAGUUCUGCAUGAAGACAGAAGCAGCUCAACAUUUCCAUAGAGCGAAGAAAUACUCUGCAAUCCCCUCUAGAGCUACUGUCCUAGAGAGGAAUACGGCUUAAACGCAGUCACGUGUUGCUGAACCCCAAAGCCUCUCCCAUCUCCUCACCAGUAACCUUUAAAGGGCAUACCCUGGGGAAACAAUGAUCCACAGCCAGUGCCCUUCAGCGACAUGAACUCUGGGCUGUGUGUCUAAGCAGCCGGAGCCAGGUGAGUCACAAAAGUCACGCCCAAAGCCACAAUGAUCAGAGCAGGAUUGUGAAAACCCCAACCCCGCCCCGCCCAUAGCAUUAGCUCAGGGACGCAAACUGUCCGCUUCCUCAAAGAGAUGGCUUUCAACAAGACUAAUGAUUCAUAUGAGAUCAGAAAAUCUGGUGUGCUUCUAUUUAUACCCUCCAAACUGGUUCAACUGCCCGUGCAAAGUGUUCACACAUGAGAUAGCAUCUGCUGACUUUCAGCAAUUGGAAAAUUACAUUUUUCUUUUGUUUCUUAAUAUAAUAUUUGUACAGUUGUGUUUAUUGUUUAGGUCAGUCUCUCUCUCUCUCUCUCUCUCUCUCUCUCUCUGUGUCUCUGUGUGUGUGAGAGGGAGAGACAGAGACAGAGACAGAGACAGAGACAGAGAAUAAAUAAUUUGAUUUUGUAUUUUUCACAUUAAGGUGACCAAAAAUAAUAAAUAUAUUGAAUCUUAUGAUUCCAGAAGAUUUCUAAAAUAGAUACAUUUGAAAUUUUCAUUGGUCUUACCACUCUGUCUGUACAAGAUGUAUACAGGAAUUUCUGAAAUUUUGUCAUACUUUUCUGCCUAAUUUCGGGUUGCAUAAGUUUCUUUCUAUCAAGUCAACUGCAUUUAUUAAGACAUAAUUAACCUAUUUCCACAUUUAAUCAUCUAAGAUAUAUAAAGCUCUAAUCACAGCUUUAGAUCAGCUUGUAAUCAAUGUUAUCAAACUGAAUUAAUUUGACUCUAAUCAAAAGCAAAAAAAUACCAUGACAUUCUAGUUAAUGAAGGCAGUUUUAUUUUCAGAAAUGUGCAAUGCCUGUGGAGCUUUUGGGGAAAAAAUGAAAAAAAAUUAAAAAUCCUUCUAGGCACAUUUAAAGACUCCCAGGGCCCAGAUUCCCCAAGAGGCAAACCAUAUCGGUGUAGAGUCUCAUAAGGGGCUGAAUACAGAAGUUAGAAGGCAAGGACACCUUUUAUUUGUAUGCAUUUCCCAAGAAAAAUGCUGAAAGCUGGGGUAUGAACACAGUGCUUGCCUUCUAACGUUUUCAUUUCCCCAUCAGAAAUAAGGGAGAGAACAUUUAAGAUAAAGAAAAGUAGCCAUCGACAGCUCCUUCACCCAGGGCUGAAAGCUAAUUAUGUAAGAGGAAAACAACCCGCUUAUUCUUCCUUCAAAGGAAACCUUGUGGUAUUAAUAGUUCCUCAUUUUCUUCCGAGCCUCAGAUAAACUCAAGCCGUUUGAGGAUUUAAAAAAAAUUCCAAAAUUUCAUCCGGGACAGAUUAGUGCUGUUUCAUGUGACUUGAAUUUAAUAAUCCUGGACUGAGGCAGGGGUGGGAGAAGAAUUCACCACCGGAGGAAGAAAUUAUUUUCAAUUAUGGAUCAGUGAACAAAGCCAGAAGUUUUGACUCAAACCCCAAAGAGAAUCAAUGUCCAUUUUAAUGGCAAACCAGCACAAUCGGUAUCAAUUUGUGGUCAAUUACACCCAUGGUUUUUUUUCUUGUUUCUACUUUGAGACUAGGUGUUCAGUGUGACUUGCCUGAAGAAAUAGCAUAUAAUUUGAUGGCUGGGCUCUAAGUAGAUCUGAAUGGAGCAGCAGCUCUCACCCUUCCUAAUGCUGCCGCCCUUUUAUACCGUUCCUCACGUUGUGGUGGCCCCCAACUGUACAAUUGCUUUUGUUGCUACUUCAGAACUGUACAUUUGAUACCCUUAAGAAUCCUAAUGUAAAUAUCGGAUAUGCAGGAUAUCUGCUAUGCGACCCCCAGUCGGAUCACAACCCACAGGUUGAGAACUGUUGAACUAGAAUCUCAUGAAUUAAGGAGGGAGUCAAAAAAUAAUUAAAAAAAAAAUUAAAAAGC
This 3975-nucleotide long non-coding RNA is filed under the name Mus musculus (house mouse). RNAcentral describes it as "long non-coding RNA chr8:34620707-34624682". Lineage: Eukaryota; Metazoa; Chordata; Mammalia; Rodentia; Muridae. The record is from RNAcentral.